Arachis ipaensis is the source of this 652-nucleotide non-coding RNA. The record is from RefSeq and is a predicted model, not a curated record. Lineage: Eukaryota; Viridiplantae; Streptophyta; Magnoliopsida; Fabales; Fabaceae.
UCUGUCUCACGAUCCCGCAGCACCUGCUCCGUAACGGCAUCGCCUUGGGUUGCAUGUAGAUCUUCUGUCUCAGAUCGUUGACGAUCUGGAUAAAACCUGACUUUCCUGUUUCAUUAACUGGUGGUUUGGUGCUCCAACUCGCUCGUAAUGUUUCUGCUUCUGCUGCUUUAGCCACUGCAUGGGCUAGACAAUUUCCGUUUCUGGGGGUCCAAGUUAUUCCCUUUUCAGCUAUUGCCCCUGUUCCAGUAUCCUUCCUGAAGGCUGCAUCAACAUUUGCUUUCAACCAGUUUGCAGGGGGAGGUCUCCAUUUCACCAGGUUUGGUCUUCACCAUUGCAGACUCAGUAUAUGCCCUUCUAUUUUCUAUGGUCCACCUUCAUACGCUCUUCUAGUUUCCUCCUGACUUUUGAAGUUCAAGAUAAAGGAGUUUGGUCCUGCAUUAGUGAUCACCAGACCCUGUGAAUCUCCCCACAUAUUGAGGAUCAUUUUACGCACUGUGACUGUAUUUAGCACCUUAUCUGUCAACACCCUGCCAACUAGCUUCUGAUCUGUAUCUCCAUGUUGAGCUGGAGAAUCUUCUAGGUCUAGAACAUCCCCUUCCAUGGCUACAUUUUCUAUCCCUUCCAUGACUUGCCUUGUUGAGUUGUGUUCCUU